UGGGGAAUAUUGGACAAUGGGCGAAAGCCUGAUCCAGCAAUGCCGCGUGUGUGAAGAAGGUCUUCGGAUUGUAAAGCACUUUCAGCGGGGAGGAAGGCGGUGAGGUUAAUAACCAGAAAGUCACGGCUAACUACGUGCCAG
RNAcentral lists this ribosomal RNA (141 nucleotides) under uncultured bacterium. Its description in RNAcentral is "partial 16S ribosomal RNA". It matches the Rfam family "Bacterial small subunit ribosomal RNA", at positions 355 to 511 of the family's 1533-position model. The record is from RNAcentral.